ACUCCAUAAUAUACUUGAUUGGCAUCGAUUGAUAUUGAAAGCUCCGGCGGAUAGAGAUGGGCACGCGCAAGAUUAGCUAGUUGGUGAGGUAACGGCUCACCAAGGCGAUGAUCUUUAGGGGCCUGAGAGGGUGAUCCCCCACACUGGUACUGAGACACGGACCAGACUCCUACGGGAGGCAGCAGUGAGGAAUAUUGGUCAAUGGGUGCAAGCCUGAACCAGCCAUCCCGCGUGAAGGACGACUGCCCUAUGGGUUGUAAACUUCUUUUGUAUAGGGAUAAACCUACCCUCGUGAGGGUAGCUGAAGGUACUAUACGAAUAAGCACCGGCUAACUCCGUG
This 340-nucleotide ribosomal RNA is filed under the name uncultured bacterium. RNAcentral describes it as "bacterial SSU rRNA". It matches the Rfam family "Bacterial small subunit ribosomal RNA", at positions 168 to 507 of the family's 1533-position model. The record is from RNAcentral.